UGAACUCAGAAAUCUGCCUGC
Molecule: non-coding RNA, 21 nt
Filed under: Mus musculus (house mouse)
Lineage: Eukaryota; Metazoa; Chordata; Mammalia; Rodentia; Muridae
Source: RNAcentral